CCUCCCAGCAGCUGUGUGUGUGACACUGGGACCAUGAUGGGAAUUCCACCCAGAGCAGCUACUACACUCCUGAACAGACUCAGCCUGGCUGGUCACCACUGGAGAGGAGUAUCUUCCCAGACUCUAACAUCCCGUUUUACCUCAGGGCCUCCUGAUCUAACAGAAAACCCUGCUAAAUGAACCCAAGAAAUCUGCUGUCAGACUGAUUGUUGCAGCUACAAAUGGUUCAGACUAACAUGAAGCCUUGCAGGUAUAGUAAAGGUGAGUUGUUUUUAAUCAUCAUGUACAGCCUUUGAGUUUUAACAUCAUCUAUGUUUUAGUUUCAUAGCUUAUUGCUACACGUGUUGCUGCUGUGAGCUUUGAGCUAGAUUACAUCAUGACACGUGGUGCGGCUGUGGCACAGGAGUUAAGUGCUCGCCCCAUAAUCGUAAGGUUGUAGGUUCGAGUCCCGCUCAGUCUGUGGCUGUCGUUGUGUCCUUGGGCAAGACACUUAACCCACGUUGCCUGCUGGUGGUGGUCAGAGGGACCGGUGGCGCCAGUGCUCGGCAGCCUCGCCUCUGUCAGUGCGCCCCAGGGCAGCUGUGGCUACAUCGUAGCUCAUCCCCACCAGUGUGUGAAUGUGUGUGUGAAUGGGUGAAUGACUGAUUGUGUUGUAAAGCGCCUUGGGGGGUUCCAGGACUCUAGAAGGCGCUAUAUCAAAUACAAGCCAUUUACCAUUUACCAUUUACAUCAUGAAGGAGACUACUGAUUCUGGUCCUGUGACACUUGGUGGUGACGUGUGAGCUGAUUCACUUGGUAAAUAACUUUUACAUUAAAUAUUUUGUUUUUGCUAUCAAAAGGAAAUUAACUAACAACCUGCAUUAUUGUAGGACACUCAGCAAAAUAUGGAUGCUACACCAUGAGGCAGGCAUGUGUUAAUAUUCUAUAAGAGCACAUAAGGUGAGCAACACCACAAUUAUUUUUAUUACUGUACACUGUCCUGGAUUUGUUUUCUUUCUGCAUCUCAUAAUUAGCCUGGCUGAUCACCUGAUAACUCCUGUCAUCUGGUUAUGACAGCAUGAGGAUGUCCUCACACACCUGUAACCUAUCAGCUCAUCUGGCAGAAUAGAGAGAGAAGAGACAACACCACAUCUCCUGUUCCUGGAAAGCCUUCAGCCAUCCUUCGAUGACUGAGAACCUCCAUCAGCUCUGUCUCCUGUCUGCCUACAAUUAUUAUAAUAAAUAUUGUGUUUGACAAGUUCUUUGUGCUUCCAAAAUGUCUCAUUUUAAUUCCAGUUAUUAUAUUUUAAUGGAUAUUUAAAAAUUACUUGUAUUGAAUUAUCACUUUGUUGCACGUUUAACUAGCUCUAAUGUGAUUAAUUAAACUAGCAACUCACUGUUAAAAGCUCGUUUGAAAUUCAGGUGUGUUUAAAUAUUUAUGGACAUGAACAAAACCAGAAAAUAUAUAUAAAUUAAGAUUUAUUUAAAUAAUAUAACAAAUAACUGAUGAGAGGGGGAAGGAAUCAUUCGAAGGCACAUUCUUCUGGAAGCUCCUGAUCCUGACGACACCACCAGAGGAGACCACCUGCAGACACUUGAGGAUCACCUACGACCAAGAGAAAGCUGGUAUCAGUAAAUAAUUAAAUCAGGGCAAUUUUAGGUGGAUGUUUGUGAUUGUGUAACAAAUGAACACACUUCAGAAUUUUCUCAUGGGGUAUUUUUAUAACCUUCUCUGCAGCAGAGAGUAACUUUAGCCCAGGGUAGGUGGCCGUGUCCUAGAGAGCUGCUAUCCAGCACGUUUCGGUGGUUUUCCUGCUUUAACAGGUCAGAGUAGCUGU
RNAcentral lists this long non-coding RNA (1817 nucleotides) under Nothobranchius furzeri (turquoise killifish). RNAcentral describes it as "lncRNA (ENSNFUG00015004287.1)". Lineage: Eukaryota; Metazoa; Chordata; Actinopteri; Cyprinodontiformes; Nothobranchiidae. The record is from RNAcentral.